RNAcentral lists this transfer RNA (68 nucleotides) under Marmota monax (woodchuck). RNAcentral describes it as "tRNA.Ala". The record is from RNAcentral. Lineage: Eukaryota; Metazoa; Chordata; Mammalia; Rodentia; Sciuridae.
GGUUUGUGGCUCAGUGGUAGAGCACUAGCCUAGCAUGUGUGAGGCACUGGGUUCAAUCCUCAGCACCA